AUCUCACUGUCACUUCUUGGAAGGGCUCUCUACCUCGUCUGCCUGCUGAGCAACCUCUUGGGGAGACGCGGGCCCUCUUGAGUCACUGAACUUGAGCUAUUUGGUGUUGAUGUUGGAAUUUCUGAUGAAUCUGCAGUCAGCAUUUUGCAUGAACUGUGUGUGGAUUCAUUGCCUACAUUGGAUGAUGAAGACUUGAGUGUUGCUACUAAGGUAAAGUGGUCUCUUGUAAAAUUAAUCUUCUCACUCUGAGUGUAGUUUUGCAUAGUAUUUACUUUUCAAAUUUAGCAGUGGUUUACCUAUCAUUGUUUUAUGGUGUUAAUGGAAAGCUGGUCAGAGAAAAACAUACACAUGGCUAGUUGAUUCAAAAAAUGUGUUUAACUUUGGUAACUAAUAAAGAUUGGUAAGUACUGUGACAGGGUGGGAGCUGAAAAAUAAAUGAACUGGAAAAUAAGUAGUCACAGGAAAAUCACAUUAGGAAAUGCUUUCUCCAAUAGAGGAAAUAUGAAAUUUGGUUAAACUUCAUUUGGAUAAAUACUAAUACUUUGACUUUUAAAUCAUACGAGUGUGACUUUCUUAAUAUUUAUUCCUGUAUAAAUCUUCAGUGGAUCAAAUUGUUUGCAGUAAUCAUGGAAUCCUCCUGGUAAUUUUUAGUGGCAAAAAUGUUCAGCACAUAGCAUAUAGCUUUUGUUCUUGGAAACUUAUCAUUUUGGUGUCAUAUAGUUUUUAGGAGAGAUUGUUUCUCUACUUAUAUUAUUGGUUCUGUAGUGAGACUAAAAAUGUAUUAAAAAUUGUAGAAAAAUAGCUGAGUUUGGUGGUGUACACCUGUAGUCCCUGCUACUUGGGAGUUUGAGACAGUAAAAUUGCUUGAACACAGGAGUUUGAGAACAGCCUGGGCAACAUUGUAUCUGAUUUAAAAAUAUAAAUUGUGGAAAUGUAGAAAUUUAAAUUUAUGUUCUCAAGAUUUGUAUUGCAAAGGGGUUUUUAUGUGAUUUAUGAGUUGUCCAUGAAGAGUUUAUAUAAAACACUUCAUCUAAUUGAAUAACAUGUAUUUUCCUGAAAAUAACCAGUUCUAGAAGCAGAGACUCUUAAUACCAAUAUGGUAAGUCUUUAUCAUGAUAAUUUUGUCAUUGUAGUUUAUUUAAAAUAUUUACUUGGCCAGGCGUGGUGGCUCACACCUGCAAUCCCAGCACUUUUGGAGGCC
RNAcentral lists this long non-coding RNA (1201 nucleotides) under Homo sapiens (human). RNAcentral describes it as "LNC_000001". Lineage: Eukaryota; Metazoa; Chordata; Mammalia; Primates; Hominidae. The record is from RNAcentral.